RNAcentral lists this ribosomal RNA (427 nucleotides) under uncultured bacterium. RNAcentral's name for it is "partial 16S ribosomal RNA". It matches the Rfam family "Bacterial small subunit ribosomal RNA", at positions 355 to 774 of the family's 1533-position model. The record is from RNAcentral.
UGGGGAAUAUUGCACAAUGGGCGCAAGCCUGAUGCAGCCAUGCCGCGUGUAUGAAGAAGGCCUUCGGGUUGUAAAGUACUUUCAGCGGGGAGGAAGGCGAUAAGGUUAAUAACCACAGCAAUUGACGUUACCCGCAGAAGAAGCACCGGCUAACUCCGUGCCAGCAGCCGCGGUAAUACGGAGGGUGCAAGCGUUAAUCGGAAUUACUGGGCGUAAAGCGCACGCAGGCGGUCUGUCAAGUCGGAUGUGAAAUCCCCGGGCUCAACCUGGGAACUGCAUUCGAAACUGGCAGGCUAGAGUCUUGUAGAGGGGGGUAGAAUUCCAGGUGUAGCGGUGAAAUGCGUAGAGAUCUGGAGGAAUACCGGUGGCGAAGGCGGCCCCCUGGACAAAGACUGACGCUCAGGUGCGAAAGCGUGGGGAGCAAACA